AUUGAACGCUGGCGGCAUGCCUUACACAUGCAAGUCGAACGGCAGCGGGGACUUCGGUCCGCCGGCGAGUGGCGAACGGGUGAGUAAUAUAUCGGAACGUACCUUUCAGUGGGGGAUAACGUAGCGAAAGUUACGCUAAUACUGCAUAUUCUGUGAGCAGGAAAGCAGGGGAUCGCAAGACCUUGCGCUGAUUGAGCGGCCGAUAUCAGAUUAGCUAGUUGGUGAGGUAAAGGCUCACCAAGGCGACGAUCUGUAGCGGGUCUGAGAUGAUGAUCCGCCACACUGGGACUGAGACACGGCCCAGACUCCUACGGGAGGCAGCAGUGGGGAAUUUUGGACAAUGGGGGCAACCCUGAUCCAGCCAUGCCGCGUGAGUGAAGAAGGCCUUCGGGUUGUAAAGCUCUUUCGGCCGGGAAGAAAUCGCGCAGGCUAAUACCCUGUGUGGAUGACGGUACCGGAAUAAGAAGCACCGGCUAACUACGUGCCAGCCGCCGCCGUAA
This 500-nucleotide ribosomal RNA is filed under the name uncultured bacterium. RNAcentral describes it as "partial 16S ribosomal RNA". It matches the Rfam family "Bacterial small subunit ribosomal RNA", at positions 30 to 523 of the family's 1533-position model. The record is from RNAcentral.